UGGAAUGCUAGCUGAUCAGCAUAUAUUAUUCGCAUUGAUCAAGAACACAUACGUUUGCUUAAGUAGUCCUUUAUUCGAUCUCUAAACACGAACCAAACAUGAAUUCUGCUCUUGUCCAAGUCUACACGACCUUAAUGUUCCUAUUGGCCCUGAUUCUACCAGUUGCAGCCAUAGAUGAUUAUGACCAAAUUGUAAUCCUCGUGGCUGUUGGCAUUGCUAUUCUAGCCGUCGCCCUCAUUGUUAUGAUUGUUGUCGCUUGUAUCAUAUUGAAAAGGAUGAGAUACCAUUGAGUACCAGACCAGGACCAGUAGUGAAAAAAAAACCCAGAGUAAUUGAAGGAUGGCACGCUAAGACUAAACACAUGUAUAUUCUAAAGAAACACAACCCAACGAAGCAAGCUAUUAAUACAAUCCAUCGACUAUACUCUUUUGGUUCAUUAAACUCUUUUGGUUCAUUAUAUUAACGCA
This is a long non-coding RNA of Actinia tenebrosa (Australian red waratah sea anemone), 467 nucleotides long. The record is from RefSeq and is a predicted model, not a curated record. Lineage: Eukaryota; Metazoa; Cnidaria; Anthozoa; Actiniaria; Actiniidae.